ACGCUCGACACCUACGGGAGGCCGCAGUAGGGAAUCUUCCACAAUGGACGCAAGUCUGAUGGAGCAACGCCGCGUGAGUGAAGAAGGUUUUCGGAUCGUAAAGCUCUGUUGUUGGUGAAGAAGGAUAGAGGUAGUAACUGGCCUUUAUUUGACGGUAAUCAACCAGAAAGUCACGGCUAACUACGUGCUAGCAGCCGCGGUAAUCUGAGCGGGCUGGCAAGGC
RNAcentral lists this ribosomal RNA (223 nucleotides) under uncultured bacterium. Its description in RNAcentral is "partial 16S ribosomal RNA". It matches the Rfam family "Bacterial small subunit ribosomal RNA", at positions 328 to 539 of the family's 1533-position model. The record is from RNAcentral.